Molecule: long non-coding RNA, 434 nt
Organism: Alosa alosa (allis shad)
Lineage: Eukaryota; Metazoa; Chordata; Actinopteri; Clupeiformes; Clupeidae
Exons: 2
Source: RefSeq, a predicted model, not a curated record
UGCCUGCCUGCCUGCCUGCCUGCCUGCCUGCCUGCCUGCCUGCCUGCCUGCCUGCCUGCCCUCUGACUCCUACCUGUGAUUCGGAUCCUUUCUUGACUGCCUCCCUGUUCUACUGCCCCGGUUAUCCCGACCUGCCUUCCGGAUCUUCUCGAUUACUCUCCGAUCUUCAGCCCCCCCCGGCCUCCGACCACCAGACGAGCGAGCCCCCGACGCGUCACCACCCUCAGCCCGAGACGCCGCUCGAUCACUGGGGGACACACACACUCAGCACCUUGGACUGGAACCCCCCGGAGACUUGGAAAACCCGAGAACCCCUGGAACCCCUGGAACCCCUGGCACUCCUAGCACCCCUGGAACCGGAACCUCCAAGACCUCACGUUUCUCUCACUCCUCUUCCCCCCUGAACCCUUCAAUAAAAAGACUCUGAAUUUGAA